CUCUUUUUGAAUAUAAUUUAAAGUUGGGCCUGCCCACUGAAUUUUGAAGGGCCGCAGUAUUUUGACUGUGCAAAGGUAGCAUAAUCAUUAGUUUUUUAAUUGAAAGCUUGUAUGAAUGGUUUGAUGAGAAAAUUUCUGUCUCAAAUUUAUUUUUUUAGAAUUUUAUUUUUAAGUUAAAAAGCUUAAAUAUAGUAAAAAGACGAGAAGACCCUAUAGAGUUUAAUUUAAAAUAAAUUUUUUUAUUAAGGAAUUUUAUAUAAAUAAAUUAUUUUUAAAUUAUGUUGGGGUGACAAAAAAAUUAAAUAAACUUUUUUUAUUUAAAAACAUUGAUUUAUGAAUUUUUGAUCCAUNNAAAUGAUUAUAAGAAUAAAUUACCUUAGGGAUAACAGCGUAAUUUUUUUUGAGAGUUCUUAUUUAAAAAAGAGAUUGCGACCUCGAUGUUGGAUUAAAAUAAAUUUUUGGUGUAGAAGCUAAAANNUUAGGUCUGUUCGACCUUUAAAAUUUUACAUGAUCUGAGUUUAAACCGGUGUAAGCCAGGUUGGUUUCUAUCUUUUAUAAAAGAAAAUAUUUUAGUACGAAAGGAUCAAAUAUUUUAUUUAAAAUAUUAAAGUUGAAUAAAAUUUUUAUUUUGGCAGAAUAGUGCGAAGGAUUUAGAAUCUUUUUAUGUAAUUUAUUACAAAUAAAAAUUGAUUUAAUUUUAAUAUUAUUGAAUUUUGUAAUUUUAGUUUUAGGAGUUUUAGUNGGAGUAGCAUUUUUAACUUUAUUGNAGCGAAAACUUUU
The sequence is a ribosomal RNA, 780 nucleotides long. The stretch from base 1 to 577 matches the Rfam family "Archaeal large subunit ribosomal RNA", at positions 1911 to 2987 of the family's 2987-position model.